ACAUGCUUGAAGAAGCCAAGUAUAUAUAUAGAUAGGAGAGGUCAUCUUUUUAAAUCAAGAAGUUGUAGAGAAAGAAAGAAAAAUAUAGAAGAAGAAGAAAGAGGAUAGGCCAAUUCGGCCAAGAAGGAGGAGAAAGAGAAGACCAAAAAUCUUGCCCCAAAAAUUUAUUUCUCAUAGUAUUUCUACUAAUUCAAAGAUGCUCUCCAACAUGGUAUAAUUGUUGAAGCAAGAGAAUUAUUCUUUGGUGCAAAACUCCAACCUUAGCUAAGUUGAGAAGUUGUGAAGGAAAGAUUUUGGUGAAUUUGGAGCUUGAGUUUGGAGAAGCAAAAGGAGCGGAAAAGGUACUCCCAGAUGAUUAGAAGACCUUACUAAAGAUGUUCCAGCGGAGAUGGCGAACUCCACUUGUCCCGGAGAAUUGCCAAGUCCAAGUAUAUGCUAUGAUGUUCUGUUCUAUGUUAGAGACUUUGCAGACAAAGCAAUGGGUAUUGGGUUGUCAGUCUGUAAGCGGCUCCAGUAGCCGAUAUGCUAUUAUGUUUUAUGUCACGAGUCUUACAUGAUGUAAGAGCUUACUUAUGAAAAGAAAAAAAAAUAUUGGAGAGCUUACUAUGUAUUUCUUUCUUUACUGAUUCAAGGGUUUCUAUACGUAACAAGAGUCAGCGGGUUCGCCCGGCUCCAGUUAUGGGGUCGGGUGCCCAUCACACCCUAGUAAAGUCGGGGUGUGACAUUAGUAAUAUUUUUUAGUAAAGAGACUUUAAUGAAUGAUAAUUUUAACAAAACAAUUCAAACAUUAACCUUGGUUUGUAGUCAUCGCUGACUUUUUACCAUGAUGUGUAGGCUUUGUGCCUGAUGACGAUCCUGUUUAUUCAAUAAACGAAACUUUUUAGCUUAAGUAAU
Long non-coding RNA from Lycium barbarum (goji berry), 894 nucleotides. RefSeq lists it as uncharacterized. NCBI's taxonomy places the organism in Eukaryota, Viridiplantae, Streptophyta, Magnoliopsida, Solanales, Solanaceae. The record is from RefSeq and is a predicted model, not a curated record. The transcript is spliced from 3 exons.